GACGAACGCUGGCGGCGUGCUUAACACAUGCAAGUCGAACGGAAAGGCCUGCUUUCCCUUGUGGAUUGCGGGUACUCGAGUGGCGAACGGGUGAGUAACACGUGAGUGAUCUGCCCCCAACUUGGGUAUAAGUCUGGGAAACUGGGUCUAAUUCCCGAUAGGACUGCAGGGUGGUGCCUGUGGUGGAAAACGAUUUUCUAGUGGUUGGGGAUGAGCUCGCGGCCUAUCAGCUUGUUGGUGGGGUAAUGGCCUACCAAGGCGGCGACGGGUAGCCGGCCUGGGAGGGUGGACGGCCACAUUGGGACUGAGAUACGGCCCAGACUCCUACGGGAGGCAGCAGUGGGGAAGAUUGCACAAUGGGCGGAAGCCUGAUGCAGCGACGCCGCGUGGGGGAUGACGGACUUCGGGUGGUAAACUCCUUUCGACCGCGAGGAAGCCACCUGGUUGGAAGGGUGGUGACGGUAGUGGUAGAAGAAGCACCGGCUAACUACGUG
RNAcentral lists this ribosomal RNA (494 nucleotides) under uncultured bacterium. RNAcentral's name for it is "partial 16S ribosomal RNA". It matches the Rfam family "Bacterial small subunit ribosomal RNA", at positions 28 to 507 of the family's 1533-position model. The record is from RNAcentral.